RNAcentral lists this small RNA (29 nucleotides) under Bombyx mori (domestic silkworm). Its description in RNAcentral is "ovarian small RNA-33948". Lineage: Eukaryota; Metazoa; Arthropoda; Insecta; Lepidoptera; Bombycidae. The record is from RNAcentral.
UGCGAUGUUGUAUCAUGUAUUGGAUACUU